UUCUGUUUCCUGUCCUCUUAGUAAGAUGGCAUCAAUCGAGGAGAAACGUUCAGAUUUCAUACCGACUUCAGAUGACAAAUGCUCUCCUUGCAAAGGUCAUAAUGGAGUCAAUCUGUCUGAUAGGACUAAACUUUUCUUGCUGGUUUUGUCCGUCUCUGUUUCAUUUUUUCUUGGAAGUCUGAGCGCUCUUAGGAUGAAUUUGUUCUUAUCAGAUCCUGACAGAGAACUGAUGGAAAACUACAGCAGAAUUCAAAAAAAUCUCUCUUCUUAUCAUAG
This is a long non-coding RNA of Paramisgurnus dabryanus, 276 nucleotides long. RefSeq lists it as uncharacterized. NCBI's taxonomy places the organism in Eukaryota, Metazoa, Chordata, Actinopteri, Cypriniformes, Cobitidae. The record is from RefSeq and is a predicted model, not a curated record.